RNAcentral lists this ribosomal RNA (290 nucleotides) under uncultured bacterium. RNAcentral describes it as "partial 16S ribosomal RNA". It matches the Rfam family "Bacterial small subunit ribosomal RNA", at positions 334 to 621 of the family's 1533-position model. The record is from RNAcentral.
UUUACCUACGGGGGGCAGCAGUGAGGAAUAUUGGUCAAUGGACGGAAGUCUGAACCAGCCAUGCCGCGUGCAGGAAGACGGCUCUAUGAGUUGUAAACUGCUUUUAUACAAGGGUAAACCUGAAUACGUGUAUUCAGCUGAAAGUACUGUACGAAUAAGGAUCGGCUAACUCCGUGCCAGCAGCCGCGGUAAUACGGAGGGUGCGAGCGUUAAUCGGAAUUACUGGGCGUAAAGGGAGCGCAGGCGGCGCGUUAAGCCUGGUGUGAAAGCCCGCGGCCCAACCGCGGGAC